AUUAAUUACAAGCCACAUAAGCAAAUUUUUUUUGAAAUGCGCUAUGUUACUAUCUAAGUUACUCCCACUAUGACUAGCCUUAGUGGGGUCCUCCUGCUGGCGGUAUUACAACUGGUAGAGCAGCUUAUGGCAAUAAAUCCUCUAUCCCGGGCCAGAGGGAUGCUCCUCCUGCCCACACUACCGCUGGUAUCGGAGGAGGGUCAUGGGGAAAGAGCAAUGAAGAUAGCUGGAAUUCGCCAAAAGGAACCAGGGCUCAGAAGGUGUUUCAAAGAACGAAGGAUCCUGGGACAAGGCCGAAGGGAGCAGGAGCCAAGGCGGUGGUGGAUGGGACAACAACAUGGGCGGGGAUGCCAACAACGGUGGUGGCAGUGGGUGCUAAGCUUGUUCCAGAAUCAGCUGUGCCUGAUUUUGGCGUGUAGAUAAGGUUUAGCGCGAUGCACCUCUCAGCGCUCUAGCACCCUGUGCUGGUUGGUUCCAUUGGCCAUGCUACCUGAACCUUUAGAAGAACAUGGCCUAGCUGGGCAAAACGUCCCCUCAUGCUGGCAGUAAUAUACUAGUAGUGCCAGCAGAACAUUUCGUGGUACCUGCAGUAACUUAUAAGUACCUUAAAUCCUAUCGUGUCUGAGAUUUCCA
Triticum urartu is the source of this 633-nucleotide non-coding RNA. NCBI's taxonomy places the organism in Eukaryota, Viridiplantae, Streptophyta, Magnoliopsida, Poales, Poaceae. The record is from RefSeq and is a predicted model, not a curated record.